UCCUACGGGAGGCAGCAGUAAGGAAUAUUGGUCAAUGGGCGCAAGCCUGAACCAGCCAUGCCGCGUGCAGGAUGACGGUCUUAUGGAUUGUAAACUGCUUUUGCACAGGAAGAAACACUACCUCGUGAGGUAGCUUGACGGUACUGUGAGAAUAAGGAUCGGCUAACUCCGUGCCAGCAGCCGCGGUAAUACGGAGGAUCCAAGCGUUAUCCGGAAUCAUUGGGUUUAAAGGGUCCGUAGGCGGUCAGAUAAGUCAGUGGUGAAAGCCCAUUGCUCAAUGAUGGAACGGCCAUUGAUACUGUUUGACUUGAAUUACUUGGAAGUAACUAGAAUAUGUAGUGUAGCGGUGAAAUGCUUAGAGAUUACAUGGAAUACCAAUUGCGAAGGCAGGUUACUACAAGUGGAUUGACGCUGAUGGACGAAAGCGUGGGUAGCGAACAGGAUUAGAUACCCUGGUAGUCCACGCCGUAAACGAUGGAUACUAGCUGUUCGGAGCAAUCUGAGUGGCUAAGCGAAAGUGAUAAGUAUCCCACCUGGGGAGUACGUUCGCAAGAAUGAAACUCAAAGGAAUUGACGGGGGCCCGCACAAGCGGUGGAGCAUGUGGUUUAAUUCGAUGAUACGCGAGGAACCUUACCAAGGCUUAAAUGUAGAUUGACCGGUUUGGAAACAGACUUUUCGCAAGACAAUUUACAAGGUGCUGCAUGGUUGUCGUCAGCUCGUGCCGUGAGGUGUCAGGUUAAGUCCUAUAACGAGCGCAACCCCUGUUGUUAGUUGCCAGCGAGUCAUGUCGGGAACUCUAGCAAGACUGCCAGUGUAAACUGUGAGGAAGGUGGGGAUGACGUCAAAUCAUCACGGCCCUUACGCCUUGGGCUACACACGUGCUACAAUGGCCGGUACAGAGAGCAGCCACUGCGCAAGCAGGAGCGAAUCUACAAAACCGGUCUCAGUUCGGAUCGGAGUCUGCAACUCGACUCCGUGAAGUCGGAAUCGCUAGUAAUCGCGAAUCAGCAUUGUCGCGGUGAAUACGUUCCCGGGCCUUGUACACACCCC
This 1051-nucleotide ribosomal RNA is filed under the name uncultured Flavobacterium sp. Its description in RNAcentral is "bacterial SSU rRNA". It matches the Rfam family "Bacterial small subunit ribosomal RNA", at positions 337 to 1393 of the family's 1533-position model. Lineage: Bacteria; Pseudomonadati; Bacteroidota; Flavobacteriia; Flavobacteriales; Flavobacteriaceae. The record is from RNAcentral.